Zophobas morio is the source of this 1232-nucleotide long non-coding RNA. RefSeq lists it as uncharacterized. NCBI's taxonomy places the organism in Eukaryota, Metazoa, Arthropoda, Insecta, Coleoptera, Tenebrionidae. The record is from RefSeq and is a predicted model, not a curated record. The transcript has 11 exons.
AGGCCAAGAUGAUUCACCGCAGCUGUAAAUUUGUUCCAGUACGUAAAUGAACGUGUCCAGAUUUUUUUGGCUGUAAACUUGCCUUCACACAAUAAGACGAAUAGGCGUUUCUAACUUCAAUGUUUAUAAAGAAAUUGAAACGGUGCACACUCUUCUUAGCCAAACUGGCGCGCUUGAUAUGCUGAAAGAUAAAGAUUUUAUGCUUGCGACUUGCUUUUUUCACAAGUCCUUGAACAUUGAAACUCUCGCUACUUAUAUAUUAAAUUAUUGGGAAAACGCGCAAAAAGUUGCUGGGAAGAAGCGCCAAAAAAUUAAUUAUUUGGCGCUCGACUUGUGUCUGUCAUGAAGUUUUUUUUUCCACCUUUUAUAGCUGCCAUCCACGUUUAAUGACACUCGAGAGAAAGCGAGGAAGACCGUUUACCAGAAAACAUAUAGCGAGAAAGUAAAAGUGGAAAAUAUUAAGCACGUUAUUGAUAGCAUAACUGAUAAUAAUAGUUUCUUGGUGGAAAACCGAUGGCCUAUUGAUAAAAUGAUUGGCUUUUUCGACACCUUUGAUCCUCGCCAUGAACCUUCAAAGACUUCUUUUAAAAAUAAUAUCCGGGGUGGAAGGCUCUGGUUUAGCACAUGAUCACGCUAAGCAAUACUGUUUUGUGCGGCAGUCGUUAUGUUUAUGGCGGAACAUCCAGGAUAAAAUAUUCAAGUUAUGGAUUAUGGCCGACUCGGACUUGCUAAGUUCAGACUAUCCUUUGGCAACACAGUUUGUAGGAUAAGGCUUCAACAGAGAUCAACCCGCUCCCAGCGUUGCUCGUGCCGUGGCAAAUAUAUUGAAAAAAGUCAAUCCACACUGCGACGAAUUGGGGGUCAGUUGAAGCGUAGUCCAUUUGGGAGACAGAAAAUUUAUAAAGAGAUGCUCCGAAUGCGCUAUUUUUGAUAGACAAGUAUACUCGUUUCCAAAAUUUUUUAAACCCUAUUGCCACGUGCCUUGAACAAAACGAUGAACUGGCGAAUAAUAACAUUUGCAAAAAACUUUUGGAAAAGUUUGGAUGCGUUGAAGUUGCUAUGCUGAGAGACUUUUUUCGUCAGCUUCGAUGGAAGUGGUAGUGAUGGUAUUUAUAAAAAUGAGCAGCCCUCUUUAACUUUCAUUAGAAAUAUUGAGUGGCAUUCAGGAGGUUCGUGUGUGGACGGCCGACUGACGAGCUGCUGGAAUUGGUGUUCCACAUAAGAAAAAAAAC